Molecule: ribosomal RNA, 427 nt
Filed under: uncultured bacterium
Lineage: Bacteria
Description: partial 16S ribosomal RNA
Rfam family: Bacterial small subunit ribosomal RNA
Source: RNAcentral
UAGGGAAUCUUCCGCAAUGGACGAAAGUCUGACGGAGCAACGCCGCGUGAGUGAUGAAGGUUUUCGGAUCGUAAAACUCUGUUAUUAGGGAAGAACAAAUGCGUAAGUAACUGUGCGCAUCUUGACGGUACCUAAUCAGAAAGCCACGGCUAACUACGUGCCAGCAGCCGCGGUAAUACGUAGGUGGCAAGCGUUAUCCGGCAUUAUUGGGCGUAAAGCGCGCGUAGGCGGUUUCUUAAGUCUGAUGUGAAAGCCCACGGCUCAACCGUGGAGGGUCAUUGGAAACUGGGAAACUUGAGUACAGAAGAGGAAAGUGGAAUUCCAUGUGUAGCGGUGAAAUGCGCAGAGAUAUGGAGGAACACCAGUGGCGAAGGCGACUUUCUGGUCUGUAACUGACGCUGAUGUGCGAAAGCGUGGGGAUCAAACA